UAGGCACAGAAAGAGAUAAGAGAUAGUUUUAAAAAAAGUUAACUUUGCCACAGCUAGCCAUAUUAAAUUAGCCAUUUGAAAUAGCAAUUUAUAAGAAAACAACUAAACGUUACCUCAGGAUUUCAAUUUUAACGACGUCAGAGCUAGAUAUAAGAGCUAACAUAGACAGCAAAGGUAACAAAGAAAAUAAAUAUAAAUACCUAAAUAUUUGUCCAGAAUCCAUUACAGGUGAACCGACUAAACAGAGCUAAUUAGAAAGCUAAGUUAAAUUUAGAUGCUAAGAAAGUACUUAUUUAGCCAAACAUAAAAGUAGCUAUGUUUAGGCCAAAGGGACUACAAAAUACGGCUACAACAGCUGAGUAAUUGCCGAAUUAUGGUUAUAUUUUAAACUGGAAAUGUUACCUGAAGUAAAGUAUUUGAAAAUGUUUAUAUUUUGUCUCUGUUACUGCACGGCAGGCACAAUUCAAACGCUGCACAAGUGAUUUUGUUUUUCCUCGCCAAGUUAACACUUGCCUGCGCAUGUGCGGUGAAACUGCAACUUCUGGUUGGUUAUUAUUGCGUGACGUCAGUUACAGAACAAGGAAGUGCAAGCUGUUCCAUAGCAGCGCGGUUUUUAAGCUGUUGUGAUGAAAACGAAUGAAACGACAUGGAUAAUUUCAGAUCCAAACUGAAACGGAAAAAAUCCUCAACUGAAAAUAUCCACCCGGAAACAUUUUCCCGAGAGACACAGCGACAGACGCAGCUGUUGUCUGUCAGUGACACUGCACAGGAAACAAGGAACUCAGCGUGGUGGUGCAGUGAUCAGCUGUCUCCAGCAGAGAGUCUGUGGGCCUUCACCCUGAGGUCUGCUCUGCCAAAUGUGGAGAAACAGCUCUGGGAGCCAGUUCCUGACCUUCCACUGCCUUCUCAAGUGAGACCUGCAGCACCACAGGGGGAUGAACUGUGGUGUGGCCUCAGUGCAGAGGUUGCUCCUCUCCCAGAACCUGCUUCAGCAUCUCCAGAUCUUCUCCGACUCGACUCCUUUAACCUGCAGCAC
This is a long non-coding RNA of Cynoglossus semilaevis (tongue sole), 1036 nucleotides long. RefSeq lists it as uncharacterized. NCBI's taxonomy places the organism in Eukaryota, Metazoa, Chordata, Actinopteri, Pleuronectiformes, Cynoglossidae. The transcript has 3 exons. The record is from RefSeq and is a predicted model, not a curated record.